GCACCCUGCUGAACAGAACUCCAAACAGAGGAGUAGCAAAAUGGGAGGAAGGUGCUGUGACUAAAUGAAGGAAGGCUGAGGGGUUAAAAUCAUUGCUGGGUGAUUUCACCACUACUGCCCCAUAUUCAUACUCUCGGUAAAUGAAUGAGGAGAGCCCCAUGUGGGAUUACAAACUUGCUGGAAAUGGAUGAGAAACCUUCUGCUCUGCUGGAGUUUAUCUUGAGUGUGCCUUAAAAUUCCAUUUCAUGGAGAACUGUGCGUGGUUGAAUUUUGAUUGAUUACUCAAUUAACUGAUGUAUUGGUAGAGUGAUUAAGAAAGAAGACUUUGGGAUCAGACCAACCUGGUUUUGAAUUCAAGCUCAGCAACUUACUAGGUAAGGAGGAGAAAAGAAAGAAGGAAAAAUUGGAAAGAUAAAUGGGGUCUUUCCAGUGAAGGCCUUUGGACUUGGACUGGAACUAAACCAUCAGCUCUUCUUGUUCUACCACUUGCAGACUGUAUGUCUUGGGACAUGUCAGCCUCUGUAAUCACGCUCAAUUUUCCUACAUAAUUAAGAGUUUGGAAUUCGGGCAAUAUCAAGAACCACAUCUGUCCUGAAAUCAAUUAUCUCUGUUUGAAACACAAGAAAUAAGAAGACCAUUUUGAGAAGAACAGAGAGUAGCCUUAAGAAAAUCCCUGUCGCAAGCACUCUGGGAUUUGGACUCAAAUGCUAAUUAUACAGAACCACUUGGGUGCCCAGCUGCUGUCCAUUCUCUACACUUAUCCCACCUGAUGGAAGGCUGUUAAGAAAAACAUCACUGCAAUGCCUAAUAAACAGACAUGGGUCCCAGACCCAAUAAGAGUGAAACCAUCCCCCUAUUUAAAUGAAAUUAUGGCUGAUGAGAAAGACAAAUUAAUUUCUCUGUCCCUAGUAUUACACAAAACUUUGGAUGCUGCCAUUGUUACAAUUUUAUUUUCCCCAGGAGCUCAGAGUCCCACCUUCAUUCUUUUUGUUUAAUGCUUAAGCUUGCCUGUCCACCUAUGGAAGACUAGAAUGAGCAAAGACCAUGUAUUCAAUGAUCUGUAAAUCUAACAGGAAACAAUAUAAUAAAUAUAUUGUGUUUGCUAACCAAA
This 1111-nucleotide long non-coding RNA is filed under the name Homo sapiens (human). RNAcentral describes it as "novel transcript". Lineage: Eukaryota; Metazoa; Chordata; Mammalia; Primates; Hominidae. The record is from RNAcentral.